This 1470-nucleotide ribosomal RNA is filed under the name Gymnodinium litoralis. Its description in RNAcentral is "eukaryotic LSU rRNA". The stretch from base 594 to 1470 matches the Rfam family "Eukaryotic large subunit ribosomal RNA", at positions 1 to 851 of the family's 3401-position model. Lineage: Eukaryota; Dinophyceae; Gymnodiniales; Gymnodiniaceae. The record is from RNAcentral.
CUGCGGAAGGAUCAUUCGCACAUGUUCCAAUCAUUCUCUUGUGAACUCUUCUGUGAGGGUCUGUGCCUGGUCGUGCCCUCGGGUGCCUGGGUGCAGAUGCUCUAGGGCGGUGGGUCGAGCCGACGUUGCUUCGGCCUUCGCCCCACUGCCGCCUCCGCUACAUUGCAACGUGCUCUCUCAUCCUCUCUUCAAUGGCUUCUGCCAUGACCCUUUUACAACUUUCAGCGAUGGAUGUCUCGGUUCGAUCAACGAUGAAGGGCGCAGCGAAGUGCGAUAAGCAUUGUGAAUUGCAGAAUUCCGUGAACCGACAGGGACUUGAACGCAUAUUGUGCUUUUGGGAUAUCCCUGAAAGCAUGCCUGCUUCAGUGUCUACGCUUUGUCGUUCCAGCAGUUGUCGCCCAUCACGGGCAUGCUGCUGCGAGUGCCUGUGCCUCAUGACGCGCAAUCUUCUGGCGCUCCUGAGGCAUCAAGUAGACAUGUCUGUGCUUCGACGGCCAGCUCAUCGAAUACCUCGCGUAUCCUUGCUGCUGCGCCCGCCCUAGCGCGAGGCAUGCUGUCUCAUCCCCAAGCUUUCGUCUCUGGCGAAGCUUCCAAGACAUGAAGUUAGGUUGGCAAACCCGCUGAAUUUAAGCAUAUAAGUAAGCGGAGGAUAAGAAACUAAAUAGGAUUCCCUCAGUAAUGGCGAAUGAACAGGGAUCAGCUCAACAUGGAAAUUGGGGCUUCUGGCUUUGAAUUGUAAUCUCAAGAUGUAUUGCCAACAGGGGCGCAGAUGUAAGCCUCUUGGAAAAGAGAAUCAUUGAGGGUGAGAAUCCUGUUUGUCAUCUGCAGUCCUCUGUGUACGGCAUGCGUUCUAAGAGUCACGUUCCUCGGGAUUGGAGCGCAAAUUGGGUGGUAAAUUUCAUCUCAAGCUAAAUAUGGGUUCGAAACCGAUAGCAAACAAGUACCAUGAGGGAAAGAUGAAAAGGACUUUGAAAAGAGAGUUAAAAGUGCCUGAACUUGCUGAAAGGAAAGCGGAUGGAACCAGUGUUGCUUAGUGAGAUUGUUGCGCGCUAAGGUGAUGGCCUGCUGCAUCAGCGCAAGCGUUGCUGUGGGUUUUGAUCUGGUUGCGCGUGAUGCUUCUUGCUUUGAACGUCAUCUGGGGUUUGGAGGUGCUGACAACUCUUGGGACAUGGUAGCUCGCCUCUGGGUGAGCGAACGUGCCAAGCAGAACGUACCCCCAGACCUCUCGUCCUUGUGCGGGAGUUCUGCGCGCGGCAUGGUGACUGAAUGGUUCUAUUCGACCCGUCUUGAAACACGGACCAAGGAGUCUAACAUAUGUGCAAGUUCUUGGGUGGUGAAACCUACGUGCGCAAUGAAAGUGAUUACUGAGAUGCUUGCAUCAGCAGCCGACCGAUCAAUUGGGAGAGGUUUGAGCAUGAGCAUAUCUGUUAGGACCCGAAAGAUGGUGAACUAUGCCUGUGAAGGGUGAAG